This 77-nucleotide non-coding RNA is filed under the name Pseudomonas corrugata. The record is from RNAcentral. Lineage: Bacteria; Pseudomonadati; Pseudomonadota; Gammaproteobacteria; Pseudomonadales; Pseudomonadaceae.
CUGAGCCGUAUGCGUUGAAAGGCGCACGUACGGUUCUUAGGGGGAGGUGGGCCAGAAAUGGCCGACCUCUACCCGAC